CUCCUCAUCCGAACUCACCAUCAACAGGGGAAAAAAAACUUGCACACUCCGAGAGCUCAACUGUGCAUGCACUUUUUUUUUUAUUUGGUGCUUGUAGACGUUAUGGGAAAGUUGUGUCUCUCCCUCUCCCCAUCCCUCCCUCUUUCUCCUUCUCUUCGUCUGUCAUGUGCGUGGGAUGCUCAUGCUUUGCACAGAGCAGCUGUAGCACGCCGAAUAGAGGCUAGAGUGUUAGCGGCAAUUUUAAAGUCCCCCCACCAAAUAAUACGGCUGGGAUAUUUGAAGGGAGCAUACACAAUAUCACGGUACACUCGGACCCCGUUGUUCUUCACCUGGCUGGGACGGCUUCUGGUCUGAUUUGACUCGCCAUUAGGAAUGCUGGAGGAAGGGGGGGCUGCGAGGAACUGCUUGCAGCAGGAAGUAGAGGUCAACACAAGAUUUCUGCAGUUUUGCACGCUAAUGGACCCACAUGAGGUUGGCUGAACCAGAAGUUGCUCAUGACCCCCAAACAAAUGGAAUAAUGACGGGAGUCUCCAUAAGUCAGACACGGAAUACAUUCGGCUGAUCUAAGAGAUAAAUAAGUUAUCCAGAUUAAGAAGAAAGGAGCCAAACUUUCAGCAAGACAGAAGCUUCAAGAUUUAUAAAACUCACAGACUGGAGUAACAGACUCUUUCUGACACUUGAACCUGCAUUGCACUCUUUAUUUCUGUAUUUCUGUCAACUUAUCCUAUAAGAUUGUUCACCAAAUUGACAAAUACUCUCACCAACAGCCUGAAAAUAGUAAUUCUAAUACUUACUGUGCCUUUGUUCUGAUGGGUAUCAUAUUUUCUAUUUUAUUUUUAUUUUUUUUAAUGGAAGAACACUUCCUAAAAUAAGAUGAAGAUAUUCUACACAUUAAAACAUGUAUUUAUUUCAUGUCAGUGAUUGAGUUUAACAAGUAUAUUUUCUGACAGCUAAAUAAAGACUUUUU
Molecule: long non-coding RNA, 967 nt
Organism: Archocentrus centrarchus (flier cichlid)
Lineage: Eukaryota; Metazoa; Chordata; Actinopteri; Cichliformes; Cichlidae
Exons: 4
Source: RefSeq, a predicted model, not a curated record